Molecule: long non-coding RNA, 1239 nt
Filed under: Parus major (Great Tit)
Lineage: Eukaryota; Metazoa; Chordata; Aves; Passeriformes; Paridae
Description: lncRNA (ENSPMJG00000002166.1)
Source: RNAcentral
GUGUGACACCUGUCUCACACCUGUCUCACCUGUGUGUCACCUGUGUCUCACCUGUAUCUCACCUGUCACACCUGUCUCACCUGUAUCUCACCUGUCACACCUGCCACACCUUUCCAGGAGCUGAAGGGGACCCUGGCUCUGGAGCUGUUACCUGUGUCUCACCUGUCACACCUGUCCCUUCCCUCUGUCACACCUGUCUCACACCUGUCUCACACCUGUGUCUCACCUGCCUCACACCUGCCUCACCUGCCUCACACCUGUCUCACCUGUAUCUCACCUGUCUCACCUGUAUCUCACCUGUCUCACCUGUCUCACCUGUCUCACCUGUAUCUCACCUGUCCAGGAGCUCAAAGGGACCCUGGCCCUGGGGCUGUUACCUGUGUCUCACUUGUCUCACAUCCAUCUCACACCUGUCUCACCUGUCUCACUUGUGUAGGAGCUCAAAGGGACACUGGCCCUGGGGCUGUUACCUGUCUCACACCUGUCUCACACCUGUCUCACCUGUGUCUCACCUGUCUCACACCUGUCUCACACCUGUCUCAACACCUGUCUCACACCUGUAUCUCACACCUGUCUCACCUGUAUCUCACCUGUCCAGGAGCUCAAAGGGACCCUGGCCCUGGAGCUGUUACCUGUCUCACGCCUGUGUCACACCUGUCUCACACCUGUGUCACACCUGUGUCUCAUCUGUCUCGUCUCACUUGUCUGACCUGUGCAGGAGCUGAAGGGGACCCUGACCCUGGAGUUGUUACCUGUCUCACACCUGUCUCACACCUGUCUCACACCUCACACCUGUCUCACCUGUAUCUCACCUGUCCCAUCUCACCUGUAUCUCACCUGUGCAGGAGCUGAAGGGGACCCUGGUGCAGGAGUUGUUACCUGUCUCACACCUGUAUCUCACCUGUCUCACCUGUCUCACCUGUCUCAUACCUGUCUCACACCUGUAUCACACCUGUGUCUCACCUGUGCAGGAGCUCAAAGGGACCCUGGCCCUGGGGCUGUUACCUGUGUCACACCUGCCUCACACCUGUCUCACCUGUAUCUCACCUGUCUCUCACCUGUCUCACCUGUCUCACCUGUCUCACCUGUCUCACACCUGUCUCACACCUGUCUCACCUGUCUCACCUGUAUCUCACCUGUGCAGGAGCUGAAGGGGACCCUGGCCCUGGAGCUGUUACCUGUCUCACACCUGUCUCACCUGUCUCACACCUGUCUCACACCUGUGUCUCACCUGUGCAG